Molecule: long non-coding RNA, 992 nt
Filed under: Vombatus ursinus (common wombat)
Lineage: Eukaryota; Metazoa; Chordata; Mammalia; Diprotodontia; Vombatidae
Description: lncRNA (ENSVURG00010003858.1)
Source: RNAcentral
AUGGACUUGGGGCCCCAGGGUCAUUGCAGCGGGGCGGCGCUGCAAAGGAGGGGAAGCUGCAGCUGGGGCGGUGCGGCAGAAGGGGGGGGCUGCAGCUGGGGCGGUGCUGCAGAAGAGGGGGGGCUGCAGCUGGGCCGGCGCUGCAGAGGGAUGGGGGCUGCAGCUGGGGUGGUGCUGCAGGAGAGGGGGGGGCUGCAGCUGGGGCGGCGCUGCAGAGGGAUGGGGGAUGCAGCUGGGGUGGUGCUGCGGGGGGGGGUUACAGCGAAGGGGGAGUUGCAGCUGGGGGGUUACAGAGGAGGGGGGAUGCAGCGCGGGCAGAGCUGCAGAGGGGGGGGGGGCCCCGGCCGGCAGCGCUCGCAGACAAGGGGGGGCGGGGUCCAGCUUCCCCGCAGCGCCCUCUCAGACUCCCCGCACCCCCGGGCCUUAGACAUCCAUCCCGGACCACCGGCCGAAACGAUGCCCCAGCGAGCUCCUUCUGCAUCCAGCAAACUCUGCCCCAGGCCCGGCGCCUCUGAGGGGCCCGGUGGCGCUGCCGCGGGGGCAGGGGCGGAGGGCAGGGCGGGAGCGGUCAAGGGCACGGCUGCGCCCUAGGCCCCGGCUGCAGCAGCCCCAGAACGGCGGAGGAGUAGCGGAAAGAGGGGCAGGAGGGGCCGCCGCCCUCCGGCCCCCGGACGCGGGAAUCCUCCGGCCCCCGGAGCAGGCGCGGCAGCACGGUCUGGUCCUGUCCGGUCCGGGGCAGCAGCUGGACACUGGCGUGGACCUCGGCUGGGCUCCGCCCGGGAAGGCCGGCCGCCGCCCCGGCAGCGCCCCGGGCCGCAGCCCGGAGCUGGGGGCGGCGGCCGACUCCGACAACGAUGGCGACUGCUCUGGCUCUGGGUGGAGGCUGCGGAGAAAAAGACUGCGGUGGAAGCGGGAGGGGCGCGUCAUGUGACCUCUUAAAGGGGCAGGCCUAAUCUGCUCCCGUAAUCUACUUUCUCUGGGCUGCUCGGCGC